GUGUCAGCAGCCGCGGUAAUACCGGCAGCCCGAGUGAUGGCCGAUCUUAUUGGGCCUUUAGCGUCCGUAGCUGGCCGCACAAGUCCAUCGGAAAAUCCACGGGCUCAACGGGUGCCCGUCCGGUGGAAACUGUGUGGCUUGGGACCGGAAGGCGCGACGGGUACGUCCGGGGUAGGAGUGAAAUCGGGUAAUCCUGGACGGACCGCCGAUGGCGAUAGCACGUCGCGAGAACGGAUCCGACAGUGAGGGACGAAAGCCAGGGUCUCGAACCGGAU
This 275-nucleotide ribosomal RNA is filed under the name uncultured prokaryote. RNAcentral's name for it is "partial 16S ribosomal RNA". It matches the Rfam family "Archaeal small subunit ribosomal RNA", at positions 455 to 729 of the family's 1478-position model. The record is from RNAcentral.